GAUGAACGCUGGCGGCGUGCCUAAUACAUGCAAGUCGAGCGAACAGAUGAUGAGCUUGCUCCUCUUACGUUAUCGUCGGACGUUUGAGUAACACGUGGAUAACCUACCUAUAUGUCUUGGAUAACUUCGGGAAACCGGUGCUAAUCCCGUAUAAUAUAUUUAUCCGCAUGGUUCAUUAGUGAUAUACGGUUUUUCUGUCUCUUAUAGAUUUUUCCGCGCCGCAUUAGCUAGUUGGUAAGGUAACGGCUUACCAAGGCAACGAUGCGUAGCCGACGUGAGAGGGUGAUCGGCAACACGGGAACUGAGACACGGACCAGAAGACUACGGGAGGCAGCAGUAGGGAAUGGUAGGCAAUGGGCGAAAGCAUGACGGAGCAAAGCCGCGUGAGUGAAGAAGGUAUUCGGAUCGUAAAACUCUGUUAUUAGGGAAGAACAAAUGUGUAAGAAAAUAUGCACGUAUUGACGGUAACUAAUCAGAAAGCAACGGCUAACUACGUG
RNAcentral lists this ribosomal RNA (497 nucleotides) under uncultured bacterium. Its description in RNAcentral is "partial 16S ribosomal RNA". It matches the Rfam family "Bacterial small subunit ribosomal RNA", at positions 28 to 507 of the family's 1533-position model. The record is from RNAcentral.